GAGGGCCCCGAGCGUUAUCCGGAAUUAUUGGGCGUAAAGAGUUCAACGGGGGUUUCGGAAGUCUAUGGUCAAAGCUCACGGCUCAACCGUGAGACCGCCCUAGAUACUCCGAGACUAGAGGGCAGAAGAGGUAAGCGGAACAGCCGGUGUAGUAGUAAAAUGCGUUAAUAUCGGCUGGAACACCAAAGGCGAAGGCAGCUUACUGGUAUGCACCUGACCCUUCACGAACGAAAGCGUGGGUAGCGAAUGGGAUUAGAUACCCCAGUAGUCCACGCCGUAAACGAUGGAUGCUAGGUGCCGGGAGUUUCGACCCCUCUCGGUGUCGUCUGAAGCUAACGCGUUAAGCAUCCCGCCUGGGGAGUACGGCCGCAAGGCUA
RNAcentral lists this ribosomal RNA (377 nucleotides) under uncultured organism. Its description in RNAcentral is "partial 16S ribosomal RNA". It matches the Rfam family "Bacterial small subunit ribosomal RNA", at positions 527 to 896 of the family's 1533-position model. The record is from RNAcentral.